Molecule: long non-coding RNA, 4871 nt
Organism: Triticum aestivum (bread wheat)
Lineage: Eukaryota; Viridiplantae; Streptophyta; Magnoliopsida; Poales; Poaceae
Exons: 3
Source: RefSeq, a predicted model, not a curated record
ACCUCCUCCCCGAGCCCGCUGCCGGUCGCUUUCUCCCCAUCGCGCCGCCACCCGACCUCCUCCCCCCAUGCGCCGCCGACCGGCCUACUCCCCCCCGUGCCGCCGCCCGACCUCCUCCCCCCACGCGCCGUCGCCCGACCUACUCCCCUCCGUGCCGCCGCCCGACCUCCUCCCAUCGUGCCUCCGGUAGGCCUCCUUCGUACCACGCCGCCGCCCGGCCUCCUCCUCGAGCGUGCUGCCGCCCUGCCCUAUCCCCAUCGCCGGCAGCGUCUCCGUUCAGCUCCGGCCGCCGCCCUCCCUCCGACCACCAUGGCUCCAACCACUCAUUCACGCAAGCAGGAUCCCCCCUGAUUCAGCUGUUCUCCUCCACUCUCUAGAUCAGGUUCGUCCCCGUAGACCCCCUGCUCCUGGGCGUCUCCAUCCCUUCUCAAUCUCCCACCAAAUGUGCUUCCAGGUUGUGCCUGCAAGUAGUCAUGGAGACUUUCUUUCUCCAUAGUCUGUGAUUUGGGCUACUGCAAGUAAAAAAGUUCACCAUGUGAGAAGGAGUCAGUGCAAUAUACUGUAGGUAAGAUGUUCAUCUUUUGCGUGACCAAAAAAUUUCAUCUUCUGAAGGUUGAAGACAAAUGGGCUAUGAAGCUUUAGAUAAAAAUGAUUUGUUUCUGUAUCUAUAUUCUAGUAUUCAGCAUGAGCAGAAAGUUUGCUCCUUCGCCUCUAGCCACCGGUAGUUCAUUGUCAGUACAGGCUCUGAAACUGUCAGUACAGUCCGUUCACCGCUGACACACGAGGCCGUUCAACAAUGCAAUGAUGAGGUCUGGACUUUCCCUUGACUCUUUUUAUGUAGCAUUUUCUGAAAAAUAUCACACUUUCAACUGCCUCAAGAGUUCAAAAGUCUAAACAAACAAAAGCUGAAACUAAAGUUCAGGAACUGUUUCUUUCAGAAAUUGAACUAUUGUAAAGAUUGUAAAUUGAAGUGUUUGUUCUUCUAGGUACUGGCACUACAAAAUACAAAGACACUUAGUUUCUAUUAAUUAUUUUAGUUCAGUUCAAUUUCUUGUUUUAGUUCAGGUCAAUUCUUAUCUUAAGUUUCAGCUCGGUUCAAUUCUUAUUUUACACUUCAGUUCAGUCCAAGCUUUGGCAGAUGACGGCCGUGCCAAAUCUAUAGUGGCAACAAGAGGGUCAAGUCGCUGUGGUUGGAGGACAGCACCCUGCUGCUGCUCUGCAUUAGAUACAAGCGCCGCAUCGAGCGGCUGUCCUCUACUGUGACACACGAAUAGCUACUGCUGCAUCAGUAUGUGUGUGUUGCCGCAUCAGUACGUGUGUGCUGCCGCAUCAGUACUGAAACUCUACCUCGGACGAGCCCAUGCGGGAACCGUGGCCUCCACCACGUUUGGUCGUCUCCGUCCUUGUUAUCUUCUGUACAGUGUGUUGUCGACUCCUUCGUUUCAAGCCAGUUUCUGGCCGACCACAUACUGCUUGAACUGAUGAGCUUGAACUACAUGUGCUGCUACCAUUUUGUGUUACUUGAACGGCCGCCCUGGCAUCAUCAAAAUCUUGAUUUAUUGGGUGGGCAAGGCAUGUCAUGCAGGGUAGCUGGAAGGGAGGGGAAGCUCGUUGCCUUGCCAUGGUUCUAGCGGGAGCCGGGCGGGCUGGUGUACACAGAGGAUAGAGGCCCUGGCCUCGUACGACCAGGUUUGUAUCGAUACUCCGGCCAACUCCAUUGAUCUUCUCAGUAAAUGCUCCACUGGUAACUCCAUUCGAAGUUUUGUCAAGUUUGAUUGCCAUGCUCUAGCCUCACAUCACAUUUUUUUCCAGUUCUGCUCAUACUGUAAGUUUGUUGAAACCUACCUAAUAUAUAGCUAAUUCAACAUCCGACAUAUCUGCUGUAAUUGUGUGUCCACACCCUCAUAUUCUUGUACAAAAAAGAAAAUGAAUGUUAGAGUGGGUGAUUAAAAAAUCAAUGUUCUUCUGUUAUUCGAGUAGGCACCUGAAAAAAAAUGUUCAUCUUGGUUAGAUGAACCAAAUGGGCUGUGUAGUUCUUCUGUUAUUUGAGGAGGCACCUGAAAAAAGUAAACAGAAUAAAUAAGAUGGCAGUAACAACCGGGUUGACUUUUUGUAAUUUUCUGUGUACGAUUGCAGUACCUUUUGUAAGAAAACACAUGGUACUUUGUAAAAAAACAUUCUGAAUCUAUUUGGACUGACCGUUCAGUUGGCAGCGUUCAUGCUGCUGCAAAUGUGGUCGUUGGGGCCAGUCAAUUGGAAGAUCUGUAGCUCCUCAGUCCAACUUAUUGCUUAGCUACCGACCACUCAAAAAAUAGUAGCAUGCAGGCCACCCCGUGCUCCGCCCCCUGAUCCGGCAUUUUUGCAGUUCAACAGGGGCGCGGGGUUCAGUUUGAUGACGAUGAGCUAGGCAGCUGGCCUUCGCAUCACGAACUGGUGUCUUAGUACAACCCUACGCUACAAGGCACGCGUACAUCCACUUCAUGUGUUAGUAAAAAGUAUUGUGCAUUUGCUUGGCAGCUUUGCACUCUAGAUACAUCACUUGGUAAAUCAAAAAUAUUUUGUUGUUCACUUUUUGUGUUUUGUUCAAUAAUUCUCAUGCUUUCUUUCGUGAGGGCUACAAAUCAUAGUGCUUAAAAUACCGAUGGGUCUGUCAUACUUGAAUUAAAAAAGUUACAGGAGAAAGUACCCUAUUCCAUUACUUUGAGAAGUAUAAGUAGACCUUUCUAAAUAGUACAGUGCAGACCCGGUGUUGCCCUGCACAAAUGGAGUCUUUAGCUCACCACGCUACCUCCUCCCGUCGGUGGGGCUCCGUCGUUGCAGCGCCCCAGCCGUUCACUGCUGCCAAACCAGGCCGUUUAACAGACAGCGUCGAGCCAUUCGACACCGCAGCUUGGGAGGCUACCUGUUUUGCUGUCGAUGUUGUCUAAUUUCACUAGUGUCCUGUUUUGCUGUCGAUCCUGUCCUCGGUGUCCAUGAGCACGAGCACCCUGUAUCCGGUGGCGAGAUGAAGGCCACCUGUGAUCCCUGCUUCCCGUCAUCACCUCCACCUCGUGUGAGUUCACUGCCGAGAACAAGCACGACCACCUACAGUUCCUAGUUGUAGCCUUGGCCACCCCUUGGCCACGAGCUCGUCCACCAUGGUUACUGGCAGUCGUCCAAGUGGAGCGCGGACAUCAGUCCAAGUAGAAUCGCAGCCACCAUCUUCACCAAGCGCUGCACGGUCGUCCAAGUUGAGGACACACAAUAGUCCAAGAUGAUGUAUGAUCACUGAUGGAUUCAGCAUCUUUUAUAUUAGUUUGAAUUAUGCAAGCCAAUUCUAUGGAAGCUUGCUGGCGAUGCGGCCAGCAUGCUUUUAGUAAUAACGGCGACCACAAACAGCAUUGGCAGCCAGCACAUGCACUACAUGCUCGACUGCUCCACACUACCGCCAUGGACAUAAACAACACAGUUUGGCAAAAAUAGAAGUUUGAUAUCAGUUCACCAUUGAGAGGUAGUAAGUGCGGAGCAGAAAAAUUGUAGCAGUUCAGCAAAAAAAAGUUUACAUGUACAAACGCUUCAGCAAUCAGUAGAAGGCCACUUGAUUUACUGUCUAAUCUUGGAGAUAAAUCCAAUAUCCUAAGUUUGUGAUGGCAGGUCACUCGUAUGACGGGUCCACGACGUAUGUUUCAGAAGAUCAGUACCAUCAAUACAAACAGAUCAGUACCAUCAUAACAAAAAAGUUAGGUUUUAAGUUAUGAAUAAGAAAUAACAAAAAAGUUCAUAAAAAACCCCAGAACACCCGGUAGUUCUUGAAUCUGGGAGUUCAGGAAAAAAUGAUCCAAAAUGAGCAUCGGGAGGGUUUGAAAAAUACAUCAUGAGCAAGGAUUUAUUUCAAGCUCACUAUUUCGGCUAUAACUACAAAAAUUGAUCUCUGUACUUAUUCAUUCUGUCACUCGAUAGUUCUAUGGCUGUUAUGAUAUGAGUUGGCAUGCAAUAACUCUUGGCAUUCUUCCAUAAACAAUGAAGGGAAUGCUAAAAGGAGGGUAUGUUUUCCAAGCUGACAUCUGCAAGCCCUCAGUAGGAUAGGCAAAACGCAGAGAUAAGUUUUGACCCUGAAAACUGGUAAGUUCGAAGAAACAAAUUCAGUGUUAUACAUGCUCUGUACUAGAACUCUUGGAUGAUUACAUUUUUCUGAUGCUCUAGUGGACCUUAUGAUUGCAGUAGAGUUGGGCUUCCUUGUAUUCAAGUGCUCGCAACUAAGCUUCACUUCUUGUUUGUUUGAAUUAACUGGUAAAACUGAAUAAUGAGAUGGAUGCAUUAAUUGGUAAACCAAUGUGUUCAUGUGCCUAGGUUAGCAGUUGAUUCACCAUUUUUUGCAGGUCCAGACGUCUCAAGCUGCUAAGGCCUACAUCUCCCUGCCAAUGUCCGAUCGCCUGUGCCGACAUGGUCGUGGAGUGCCCUGGCCGAUCACAACCACCACCGCAGGCUGUUCUACGCCACCUCCGUAGGCGGUUCAUCGUAGCAGCGACCUGGAUCCCACUGGUUCCCACUAGCGACAUCCGUUCGAGCACAUCGUCGCUGUCCUGCAGCAGCGUGGCUUAGCUACUGCACUUGGUUGAGGUCAGAGCCUUUCGAGUUGUCAAGCCCAGCCAUGGCGUGCGUCCGCUGAACGACGACAGCUUCGUGUGCGUUCCUGCAUGUGCUCAUGUGUUGUACUGGUGUGGGUUGUGCGUGUGCUUUUCUUAUUCUAAUUGUAGUUUUCACCUGGAUGUUUUUCUGAGACAUUCAAGUAUUACUGUCUAAAAGGUGUAGUUAUGAACUCACCCAUGGAUUCAAGUUACUCACGCUGCUGGCUCUUGGUGCUAGAUGAAAUGAAGUACUCUUCAUGCAAA